AUCGCUUCUCGGCUUUUUGUCUUCAGAUCAAGUGUA
This 36-nucleotide small nuclear RNA is filed under the name Cervus elaphus hippelaphus. Lineage: Eukaryota; Metazoa; Chordata; Mammalia; Artiodactyla; Cervidae. The record is from RNAcentral.